This 492-nucleotide ribosomal RNA is filed under the name uncultured bacterium. Its description in RNAcentral is "partial 16S ribosomal RNA". It matches the Rfam family "Bacterial small subunit ribosomal RNA", at positions 29 to 507 of the family's 1533-position model. The record is from RNAcentral.
AGUGAACGCUGGCGGUAGGCCUAACACAUGCAAGUCGAACGACAGCACAGUAAGAGCUCGCUCUUACGGGUGGCGAGUGGCGGACGGGUGAGGAAUACAUCGGAAUCUACUUUUUCGUGGGGGAUAACGUAGGGAAACUUACGCUAAUACCGCAUACGAUCUACGGGUGAAAGCAGUGGAUCUUCGGACCUUUCGCGAUUGAAUGAGCCGAUGUCGGAUUAGCUAGUUGGCGAGGUAAAGGCCCACCAAGGCGACGAUCCGUAGCUGGUCUGAGAGGAUGAUCAGCCACACUGGAACUGAGACACGGUCCAGACUCCUACGGGAGGCAGCAGUGGGGAAUAUUGGACAAUGGGCGCAAGCCUGAUCCAGCCAUACCGCGUGGGUGAAGAAGGCCUUCGGGUUGUAAAGCCCUUUUGUUAGGAAAGAAAAGCAGCAGGUGAAUACCCCGCUGUUCUGACGGUACCCAAAGAGUAAGCACCGGCUAACUUCGUG